This 483-nucleotide ribosomal RNA is filed under the name uncultured bacterium. RNAcentral's name for it is "partial 16S ribosomal RNA". It matches the Rfam family "Bacterial small subunit ribosomal RNA", at positions 28 to 523 of the family's 1533-position model. The record is from RNAcentral.
GACGAACGCUGGCGGCGUGCUUAACACAUGCAAGUCGAGCGAGGCCCCUCCUUCGGGAGGGUGUCCUAGCGGCGAACGAGUGAGUAACACGUGGGCAACCUGCCCCCGGCUCUGGGAUAACUCCAAGAAAUUGGGGCUAAUACCGGAUAUGACCGCUGACCGCAUGGUCUGGUGGUGGAAAGAUUUAUCGGCUGGGGAUGGGCCCGCGGCCUAUCAGCUGGGUGGUGGGGUAGUGGCCUACCAAGGCGACGACGGGUAGCCGGCCUGAGAGGGUGACCGGCCACACUGGGACUGAGACACGGCCCAGACUCCUACGAGAGGCAGCAGUGGGGAAUAUUGCGCAAUGGGCGGAAGCCUGACGCAGCGACGCCGCGUGGGGGAUGACGGCCUUCGGGUUGUAAACCUCUUUCAGCAGGGACGAAGCGAAAGUGACGGUACCUGCAGAAGAAGCACCGGCCAACUACGUGCCAGCCGCCGCCGUAA